RNAcentral lists this transfer RNA (72 nucleotides) under Camelus dromedarius (Arabian camel). It matches the Rfam family "tRNA". From Rfam's summary of the family: Transfer RNA (tRNA) molecules are approximately 80 nucleotides in length. Their secondary structure includes four short double-helical elements and three loops (D, anti-codon, and T loops). Lineage: Eukaryota; Metazoa; Chordata; Mammalia; Artiodactyla; Camelidae. The record is from Rfam by way of RNAcentral. RNAcentral also lists the same sequence under 2 other names.
GUGGGUACAGCUCGGUGGCAGAGUGUGUGCUUAGCACGCACAAGGUUCUGGGUUCAAUCCCCAGUACCGACA